Molecule: ribosomal RNA, 847 nt
Filed under: uncultured bacterium
Lineage: Bacteria
Description: bacterial SSU rRNA
Rfam family: Bacterial small subunit ribosomal RNA
Source: RNAcentral
CCGGAUUUACUGGGUGUAAAGGGAGCGUAGACGGAUGGACAAGUCUGAUGUGAAAGGCUGGGGCUCAGCCCCGGGACUGCAUUGGCAACUGCCCGUCUUGAGUGCCGGAGAGGUAAGCGGCAUUCCUAGUGUAGCGGUGAAAUGCGUAGAUAUUAGGAGGAACACCAGGGGCGAGGGCGGCUUAUUGGGCACCAACUGACGCUGAGGCUGGAAAGUGUGGGUAGCAAACAGGAUUAGAUACCCUGGUAGUCCACACCGUAAACGAUGAUUACUAGGUGUUGGAGGAUUGACCCCUUCAGUGCCGCAGUUAACACAAUAAGUAAUCCACCUGGGGAGUACGACCGCAAGGUUGAAACUCAAAGGAAUUGACGGGGGCCCGCACAAGCAGUGGAGUAUGUGGUUUAAUUCGACGCAACGCGAAGAACCUUACCAAGUCUUGACAUCCCUUGACAGGCAUAGAAAUAUGUUUUCUCUUCGGAGCAAGGAGACAGGUGGUGCAUGGUUGUCGUCAGCUCGUGUCGUGAGAUGUUGGGUUAAGUCCCGCAACGAGCGCAACCCUUAUGGUCAGUUACUACGCAAGAGGACUCUGGCCAGACUGCCGUUGACAAAACGGAGGAAGGUGGGGAUGACGUCAAAUCAUCAUGCCCUUUAUGACUUGGGCUACACACGUACUACAAUGGCGUUAAACAAAGAGAAGCGAGACCGCGAGGUGGAGCAAAACUCAGAAAACCGAUCGUAGUCCGGAUUGCAGUCUGCAACUCGACUGCAUGAAGUCGGAAUCGCUAGUAAUCGCGGAUCAGCAUGCCGCGGUGAAUACGUUCCCGGGUCUUGCACACACCGCCCGUCA